AACUGGGCCCUACGCGGCGGGACGGUUCGAACCGUGUCAGGGUCGAGAGGCAGCAGCACUAAGGGCUGAAACCCGGGUGCCGUAGGUUUCCCGGUUUGA
RNAcentral lists this signal recognition particle RNA (99 nucleotides) under Candidatus Flexifilum breve. RNAcentral's name for it is "signal recognition particle sRNA small type". It matches the Rfam family "Bacterial small signal recognition particle RNA". From Rfam's summary of the family: The signal recognition particle (SRP) is a universally conserved ribonucleoprotein involved in the co-translational targeting of proteins to membranes. Archaeal SRP consists of a 7S RNA and homologues of the eukaryotic SRP19 and SRP54 proteins. In most bacteria, the SRP consists of a 4.5S RNA and the Ffh protein (a homologue of the eukaryotic SRP54 protein). Lineage: Bacteria; Bacillati; Chloroflexota; Anaerolineae; Aggregatilineales; Candidatus Flexifilaceae. The record is from RNAcentral.